GGACUGAGACACGGCCCAGACUCCUACGGGAGGCAGCAGUAGGGAAUCUUCCGCAAUGGACGAAAGUCUGACGGAGCAACGCCGCGUGAGUGAUGAAGGCUUUCGGGUCGUAAAACUCUGUUGUUAGGGAAGAACAAGUACAAGAGUAACUGCUUGUACCUUGACGGUACCUAACCAGAAAGCCACGGCUAACUACGUGCCAGCAGCCGCGGUAAUACGUAGGUGGCAAGCGUUAUCCGGAAUUAUUGGGCGUAAAGCGCGCGCAGGCGGUUUCUUAAGUCUGAUGUGAAAGCCCACGGCUCAACCGUGGAGGGUCAUUGGAAACUGGGGAACUUGAGUGCAGAAGAGAAAAGCGGAAUUCCACGUGUAGCGGUGAAAUGCGUAGAGAUGUGGAGGAACACCAGUGGCGAAGGCGGCUUUUUGGUCUGUAACUGACGCUGAGGCGCGAAAGCGUGGGGAGCAAACAGGAUUAGAUACCCUGGUAGUCCACGCCGUAAACGAUGAGUGCUAAGUGUUAGAGGGUUUCCGCCCUUUAGUGCUGCAGCUAACGCAUUAAGCACUCCGCCUGGGGAGUACGGUCGCAAGACUGAAACUCAAAGGAAUUGACGGGGGCCCGCACAAGCGGUGGAGCAUGUGGUUUAAUUNRAARCAACGCGAAGAACCUUACCAGGUCUUGACAUCCUCUGACAACUCUAGAGAUAGAGCGUUCCCCUUCGGGGGACARAGUGACAGGUGGUGCAUGGUUGUCGUCAGCUCGUGUCGUGAGAUGUUGGGUUAAGUCCCGCAACGAGCGCAACCCUUGAUYUUAGUUGCCAGCAUUUAGUUGGGCACUCUAAGGUGACUGCCGGUGACAAACCGGAGGAAGGUGGGGAUGACGUCAAAUCAUCAUGCCCCUUAUGACCUGGGCUACACACGUGCUACAAUGGAUGGUACAAAGGGCUGCAAGACCGCGAGGUCAAGCCAAUCCCAUAAAACCAUUCUCAGUUCGG
Molecule: ribosomal RNA, 989 nt
Filed under: bacterium Antarctica-18
Lineage: Bacteria
Description: bacterial SSU rRNA
Rfam family: Bacterial small subunit ribosomal RNA
Source: RNAcentral